GAUGAACGCUGACAGAAUGCUUAACACAUGCAAGUCUUUGGCGAAGCUGUGCUUGCACAGCCUAGCCAAGGCGGACGGGUGAGUAACGCGUAAGGAACUUGCCCUGCAGUCAGGGAUAACAGACGGAAACGACUGAUAAGACCUGGUAAAGUCAGGCGGACUCAUGUCCAGCCUGAUGAAAAGAGAUGCUGCAGGAGAGCCUUGCGUCCUAUUAGCUUGUUGGUGGGGUAACGGCCCACCAAGGCGAUGAUAGGUAGCCGGCCUGAGAGGGUGGACGACCACAAGGGGACUGAGAUACGGCCCUUACUCCUACGGGAGGCAGCAGUGGGGAAUAUUGGACAAUGGGGGCAACCCUGAUCCAGCAAUUCUGUGUGCACGAUGAAGGUUUUCGGAUUGUAAAGUGCUUUCAGCAGGGAAGAAAAAAAUGACGGUACCUGCAGAAGAAGCGACGGCUAAAUACGUG
Molecule: ribosomal RNA, 463 nt
Filed under: uncultured bacterium
Lineage: Bacteria
Description: partial 16S ribosomal RNA
Rfam family: Bacterial small subunit ribosomal RNA
Source: RNAcentral